GUUUGAUCCUGGCUCAGGAUGAACGCUAGCUACAGGCUUAACACAUGCAAGUCGAGGGGCAGCAUGAAUAUUGGCUUGCCAAUAUUUGAUGGCGACCGGCGCACGGGUGAGUAACACGUAUCCAACCUUCCGGUUACUCGGGGAUAGGCUUUCGAAAGAAAGAUUAAUACCCGAUGUUGUGUAUCUUUCUCCUGAAAGAUACGCCAAAGGAUUCCGGUAACCGAUGGGGAUGCGUUCCAUUAGGCAGUUGGCGGGGUAACGGCCCACCAAACCUUCGAUGGAUAGGGGUUCUGAGAGGAAGGUCCCCCACAUUGGAACUGAGACACGGUCCAAACUCCUACGGGAGGCAGCAGCGAGGAAUAUUGGUCAAUGGACGGAAGUCUGAACCAGCCAAGUAGCGUGAAGGAUGACUGCCCUCUGGGUUUAAACUACUUUUAUACGGGAAUAACAUGAGGUACGCGUACCUUAUUGCAUGUACCGUUAUGAAUAAGCAUCGGCUAACUCCGUGCCAGCAGCCGCGGUAAUACGGAGGAUGCGAGCGUUAUCCGGAGUUAUUGGGUUUAGAGGGAGCGUAGGUGGGAUAUUAAGUCAGCUGUGAAAGUUUGGGGCUCAACCUUAAAAUUGCAGUUGAUACUGGUUUCCUUGAGUACGGUACAGGUGGGCGGAAUUCGUGGUGUAGCGGUGAAAUGCUUAGAUAUCACGAAGAACUCCGAUCGCGAAGGCAGCUCACCGGGCCGGAACUGACACUGAUGCUCGAAAGUGCGGGUAUCAAACAGGAUUAGAUACCCUGGUAGUCCGCACAGUAAACGAUGAAUACUCGCUGUUUGCGAUACACAGUAAGCGGCCAAGCGAAAGCGUUAAGUAUUCCACCUGGGGAGUACGCCGGCAACGGUGAAACUCAAAGGAAUUGACGGGGGCCCGCACAAGCGGAGGAACAUGUGGUUUAAUUCGAUGAUACGCGAGGAACCUUACCCGGGCUUAAAUUGCGCUGGCUUUUACCGGAAACGGUAUUUUCUUCGGACCAGCGUGAAGGUGCUGCAUGGUUGUCGUCAGCUCGUGCCGUGAGGUGUCGGCUUAAGUGCCAUAACGAGCGCAACCCUUAUCUUUAGUUACUAACAGUUUUGCUGAGGACUCUAAAGAGACUGCCGUCGUAAGAUGCGAGGAAGGUGGGGAUGACGUCAAAUCAGCACGGCCCUUACGUCCGGGGCUACACACGUGUUACAAUGGGGAGCACAGCAGGUUGCCACACGGCGACGUGAUGCCAAUCCGUAAAACUCCUCUCAGUUCGGAUCGAAGUCUGCAACCCGACUUCGUGAAGCUGGAUUCGCUAGUAAUCGCGCAUCAGCCACGGCGCGGUGAAUACGUUCCCGGGCCUUGUACACACCGCCCGUCAAGCCAUGAAAGCCGGGGGUACCUGAAGUACGUAACCGCGAGGACGUCCUAGGGUAAACCUGGUGAUUGGGGCUAAGUCGUAACAAGGUAGCCGUACCGGAAGGUGCGGCUGGAACACCUCCUUUCU
This 1519-nucleotide ribosomal RNA is filed under the name Bacteroides pyogenes. RNAcentral's name for it is "16S ribosomal RNA". It matches the Rfam family "Bacterial small subunit ribosomal RNA". The record is from RNAcentral. Lineage: Bacteria; Pseudomonadati; Bacteroidota; Bacteroidia; Bacteroidales; Bacteroidaceae.